Long non-coding RNA from Amphiprion ocellaris (clown anemonefish), 605 nucleotides. RefSeq lists it as uncharacterized. The transcript is spliced from 2 exons. The record is from RefSeq and is a predicted model, not a curated record. NCBI's taxonomy places the organism in Eukaryota, Metazoa, Chordata, Actinopteri, Pomacentridae.
UGAUGACCUGCACCACCUGAAGCUCCAGUGUUCCACUGAAUGAAAAAGCACCCAGAUCAUGAUGGACCCCCCUCCACUGUGCCGGGUAGAAAACAUCUCAGGUGGGAUCUCCUUGUCAUGCCAGUAACGUUGGAAGCCAUCUGGACCGUCAAGAUGCCGUCUGAUGGUUAUUGCGCUGCAGUCGGCACCAGUAAGGGCCUUAAUUUGGGUCGAGGACCGCCCUGUGUCUUGACGGACAGCCAAUCGGAUCCUCCGGCUCAGCGCAGGUGUAAUUUUUUUGGGUCUACCACUUGACUUUUUUGUUCCAUAAUGCUCAGGAUCUUUCAAAAAAUUUAGAAUGACUGUCUUACUGCGUCCAACCUCAGCAGCAAUGGCAUGCUGCGAGAGGCCUUGCUUAUGCAGCUCUACGAUCCGACCACGUUCAAGAAGAGAAAGGUUCUUAGCUUUAGCCAUCAGGAGGGCAUGACCAUGUGAAUGCCUGACAGAAGAUGAGAAUUUUGAGCAGAUUUGGGCUUUUAUAGCCUGUGGUCUUAAACUUUUGAUCAGCUGAUAAACAGCCUAUUUCAGUUUACUUGUUGUUUUCAAUAAAUUACUUUUUCAAAGUG